This 645-nucleotide ribosomal RNA is filed under the name uncultured bacterium. RNAcentral's name for it is "bacterial SSU rRNA". It matches the Rfam family "Bacterial small subunit ribosomal RNA", at positions 1 to 693 of the family's 1533-position model. The record is from RNAcentral.
AAUACUGGAGUUUGAUCCUGGCUCUCAAUGAACGCUGGCGGCAUGCCUAGCACAUGCAAGUCCAACGAAGGCUUCUGCCUUAUUGGGGCACGGGUGCGUAACGCGUGGGAAUCUGCCCUCAGGUUCGGAAUAACAGCGAGAAAUUGCUGCUAAUACCGGAUGAUAUCGCGAGAUCAAAGAUUUAUCGCCUGAGGAUGAGCCCGCGUAGGAUUAGCUAGUUGGUGUGGUAAAGGCGCACCAAGGCGACGAUCCUUAGCUGGUCUGAGAGGAUGAUCAGCCACACUGGGACUGAGACACGGCCCAGACUCCUACGGGAGGCAGCAGUGGGGAAUAUUGGACAAUGGGCGAAAGCCUGAUCCAGCAAUGCCGCGUGAGUGAUGAAGGCCUUAGGGUUGUAAAGCUCUUUUACCCGGGAUGAUAAUGACAGUACCGGGAGAAUAAGCUCCGGCUAACUCCGUGCCAGCAGCCGCGGUAAUACGGAGGGAGCUAGCGUUAUUCGGAAUUACUGGGCGUAAAGCGCACGUAGGCGGCUUUGUAAGUUAGAGGUGAAAGCCUGGAGCUCAACUCCAGAAUUGCCUUUAAGACUGCAUCGCUUGAAUCCAGGAGAGGUGAGUGGAAUUCCGAGUGUACAGGUGAAAUUCGUGG